CUCACGCACUAAAUUCCCUAUCUGACUUAAGCAUCGAAGGGGCGACGAGCACACACCUCGUUGCCUUUGUUUCAGAUAUUCAAAGACCGUUCGUGUUCACUUGAGUUCGCCUAAGUUUGGAGUUUGAUCAUCAAGUUUGAGAUCUUUCAGGUACUAUUUUUUUUGGUAACAUCAUAUACUAAGUAGUAUAGAAGCUACGAAGACCAAAGGGGACCUUACCCUCCCCUAUUUUCAAAUUCGAGUGGGUUGUAGGUUUAUGAAAUUCUUCUUUCGCCAUCCUAUAAGAAGCAUGAUUAUGCCGAGUUUGAUCUUCCUGGAACAAGCUUACUUGUGGUGUUCUCAAGGUUAAUUUAAAAAAUAGUUGAAACAUAAUGAACACGAAAUAAAGUUACUAGUGUAAUUUCAAUGUUAUAUAAGAAAGUUACUGAUUUUUCUCGGGUUAUCACUCCAAUGCGAUCCAGAGUGAAAUGAUAGAAAUAAAUAGUAGGACUGGGAAAAUUCAGAAACCAAGUUUUGGUCCUAUUCAAACAACUUAAUCAAGCAUGCAAGAAAAGUUGGCUUAAUAGGGUUUGGUAUCCAAGCCUAUUCAUGAAAAGUGGUUUAAUGACUUUUGUUCUUUGCAGAGGCCAUAGCUCGAUCCGCACCUCCUAUUGAACCAGUUGUUGAGACCUCAAAAGCUGCUUAACCUCCAAAACAAAAGAAAACUUAUUCCUUGUCCCAUAUCAUUAAGGUACGUGGUUGCGUUGACUAUUCUUACUUCAUAG
RNAcentral lists this long non-coding RNA (764 nucleotides) under Olea europaea subsp. europaea. Lineage: Eukaryota; Viridiplantae; Streptophyta; Magnoliopsida; Lamiales; Oleaceae. The record is from RNAcentral.